Molecule: ribosomal RNA, 202 nt
Filed under: Pseudomonas aeruginosa
Lineage: Bacteria; Pseudomonadati; Pseudomonadota; Gammaproteobacteria; Pseudomonadales; Pseudomonadaceae
Description: partial 16S ribosomal RNA
Rfam family: Bacterial small subunit ribosomal RNA
Source: RNAcentral
AGCAGUAUUGAACUGAAGAGUUUGAUCAUGGCUCAGAUUGAACGCUGGCGGCAGGCCUAACACAUGCAAGUCGAGCGGAUGAAGGGAGCUUGCUCCUGGAUUCAGCGGCGGACGGGUGAGUAAUGCCUAGGAAUCUGCCUGGUAGUGGGGGAUAACGUCCGGAAACGGGCGCUAAUACCGCAUACGUCCUGAGGGAGAAAGU